Molecule: ribosomal RNA, 397 nt
Filed under: uncultured bacterium
Lineage: Bacteria
Description: partial 16S ribosomal RNA
Rfam family: Bacterial small subunit ribosomal RNA
Source: RNAcentral
AUACGUAGGGGGCGAGCGUUGUCCGGAAUGAUUGGGCGUAAAGGGCGCGUAGGCGGCCCGGUAAGUCUGGAGUGAAGGUCCUGUUUUUAAGAUGGGAAUUGCUUUGGAUACUGUCGGGCUUGAGUGCAGGAGAGGUAAGUGGAAUUCCCAGUGUAGCGGUGAAAUGCGUAGAGAUUGGGAGGAACACCAGUGGCGAAGGCGACUUACUGGACUGUAACUGACGCUGAGGCGCGAAAGUGUGGGGAGCAAACAGGAUUAGAUACCCUGGUAGCCCACACUGUAAACGAUGAAUGCUAGGUGUAGGGGGUAUCGACCCCUUCUGUGCCGCAGUCAACACAAUAAGCAUUCCGCCUGGGGAGUACGGCCGCAAGGUUGAAACUCAAAGGAAUUGACGGGG